GUUCCUGGCUCAGGACGAACGCUGGCGGCGUGCCUAAUACAUGCAAGUCGAGCGAAGUUUUUCUGGUGCUUGCACUAGAAAAACUUAGCGGCGAACGGGUGAGUAACACGUAAAGAACCUGCCUCAUAGACUGGGACAACUAUUGGAAACGAUAGCUAAUACCGGAUAACAGCAUUAACUGCAUGGUUGAUGUUUAAAAGUUGGUUAUGCUAACACUAUGAGAUGGCUUUGCGGUGCAUUAG
Molecule: ribosomal RNA, 242 nt
Filed under: uncultured bacterium
Lineage: Bacteria
Description: partial 16S ribosomal RNA
Rfam family: Bacterial small subunit ribosomal RNA
Source: RNAcentral